UACGUAGGGGGCUAGCGUUGUCCGGAAUCAUUGGGCGUAAAGCGCGUGUAGGCGGUUCGGUAAGUCCGCUGUGAAAGUCGGGGGCUCAACCCUCGGAAGCCGGUGGAUACUGUCGGGCUAGAGUACGGAAGAGGCGAGUGGAAUUCCUGGUGUAGCGGUGAAAUGCGCAGAUAUCAGGAGGAACACCAAUUGCGAAGGCAGCUCGCUGGGACGUUACUGACGCUGAGACGCGAAAGCGUGGGGAUCAAACAGG
Molecule: ribosomal RNA, 253 nt
Filed under: uncultured bacterium
Lineage: Bacteria
Description: partial 16S ribosomal RNA
Rfam family: Bacterial small subunit ribosomal RNA
Source: RNAcentral